ACACGUGGGUAACCUGCCUGUAAGACUGGGAUAACUCCGGGAAACCGGGGCUAAUACCGGAUGGUUGUCUGAACCGCAUGGUUCAGACAUAAAAGGUGGCUUCGGCUACCACUUACAGAUGGACCCGCGGCGCAUUAGCUAGUUGGUGAGGUAACGGCUCACCAAGGCGACGAUGCGUAGCCGACCUGAGAGGGUGAUCGGCCACACUGGGACUGAGACACGGCCCAGACUCCUACGGGAGGCAGCAGUAGGGAAUCUUCCGCAAUGGACGAAAGUCUGACGGAGCAACGCCGCGUGAGUGAUGAAGGUUUUCGGAUCGUAAAGCUCUGUUGUUAGGGAAGAACAAGUGCCGUUCAAAUAGGGCGGCACCUUGACGGUACCUAACCAGAAAGCCACGGCUAACUACGUGCCAGCAGCCGCGGUAAUACGUAGGUGGCAAGCGUUGUCCGGAAUUAUUGGGCGUAAAGGGCUCGCAGGCGGUUUCUUAAGUCUGAUGUGAAAGCCCCCGGCUCAACCGGGGAGGGUCAUUGGAAACUGGGGAACUUGAGUGCAGAAGAGGAGAGUGGAAUUCCACGUGUAGCGGUGAAAUGCGUAGAGAUGUGGAGGAACACCAGUGGCGAAGGCGACUCUCUGGUCUGUAACUGACGCUGAGGAGCGAAAGCGUGGGGAGCGAACAGGAUUAGAUACCCUGGUAGUCCACGCCGUAAACGAUGAGUGCUAAGUGUUAGGGGGUUUCCGCCCCUUAGUGCUGCAGCUAACGCAUUAAGCACUCCGCCUGGGGAGUACGGUCGCAAGACUGAAACUCAAAGGAAUUGACGGGGGCCCGCACAAGCGGUGGAGCAUGUGGUUUAAUUCGAAGCAACGCGAAGAACCUUACCAGGUCUUGACAUCCUCUGACAAUCCUAGAGAUAGGACGUCCCCUUCGGGGGCAGAGUGACAGGUGGUGCAUGGUUGUCGUCAGCUCGUGUCGUGAGAUGUUGGGUUAAGUCCCGCAACGAGCGCAACCCUUGAUCUUAGUUGCCAGCAUUCAGUUGGGCACUCUAAGGUGACUGCCGGUGACAAACCGGAGGAAGGUGGGGAUGACGUCAAAUCAUCAUGCCCCUUAUGACCUGGGCUACACACGUGCUACAAUGGACAGAACAAAGGGCAGCGAAACCGCGAGGUUAAGCCAAUCCCACAAAUCUGUUCUCAGUUCGGAUCGCAGUCUGCAACUCGACUGCGUGAAGCUGGAAUCGCUAGUAAUCGCGGAUCAGCAUGCCGCG
Molecule: ribosomal RNA, 1262 nt
Filed under: Bacillus siamensis
Lineage: Bacteria; Bacillati; Bacillota; Bacilli; Caryophanales; Bacillaceae
Description: bacterial SSU rRNA
Rfam family: Bacterial small subunit ribosomal RNA
Source: RNAcentral